CCCGGACGCCCGCAUCCAGCCCGCGAGCGACCGAGCGGACCUCCGCGCAGAGGCCGCGGCACGGCGCCCCCCCGGCCCAAUCUUCUGACCCAAGGGAGAUGAAAAGGAUGCCCACCCUCAGGACUGCAGAGCCUGCAGGUGCACAGACUCGCUCAAAGGUUUCUGAACCCAGUGGAUGUACAGUGCAAUUCAGCCACCUGGGGAUGACGCUGGUGACAUGUGUCCUGGAAUUACACGCUUAGUGCUGUGCAGGAUGCUGGGGAUUCUCAGGAAGGCCUUGGCCUUGGCAGGGUACUACGGAGUCUCACAGCCUGGAUGCCACAGGGGACCUGGCCAUGCCUCCCCAGGAGGGCAGAGCUCGCCAGCCUCGUGGGAAGUUUUGUGAGAUCUCCGCCAGCUCCUGGGGUCCCUCAGAAAUGCCUCGAUCACACAGGGCACCAGGUGAGAAAAUGUGCUCAUGAACAAAUCGCCGACACCCAGCGUGCCCGCGUCCCACAGUGACCAGUUGCUCACGGAGACAUCGGCCAGUGCGCUGCAGGAGCAGCAGCAGCUCCCUCCCGGCUUAACCCGUGCUGCAUGGCCCCUCUGCGAAGCAACCCGGCCAAGGCCCAGCUCACCUGCAGGCUGGGCCAGGAAGCCUGGCUCCCUAGACGCAGAGUCCUGUUGCGGCUGGGAUUUAGGUGCUUUUAACCUGAAAAUGGUGCAUAUCCUGUCAGCACUGCAGAAGAACUCGAGGACCUCUUGGCCUGGGCUCAAUCUGGAGUAUUUGGGAACUUGGAGAAUGGAGGAAUAUGCACGUAGAUGACUCCCAAGUUUCACCACUCUUCAAAUGAACACAAAUGACUUUGAAAUCAUCAUGACUUUCGAUUUGGGGAUUACACAUCAACUUUGAUGAGCAGGAAAAUUGCAUGGAGAAAAUCCACAAAUCGGAAGAGCAGAUGGUACAUCACGAUCAAGUGGACAGGUGUCCAGCACACAGGUAGUAGCGGGAUCCCGAUGGACACCCACUCGUCUCCUGCUCUGGUCGUGUAGAUUGUGUUGGAUUUUGUAACCAUUCCACAGGGUGCAGCAUGAAUUCUCCUACACCCUCCCCGCAUGGUUAGUGUGGUGAAGGAAACAGGUGAGUAGGGUUGGACCCUGCCCUCACACACUUGCAAUUGAACAGGGAAAGUGUGACCCACGUGACAGGGCCAUCUGGGCCAGAAAGCCAUCUGGCCAUCCCCAUCCCCAGAACCUUGGGAUGGGAAGUCCAGGUGAGGGUGGGUGCCUGGCUUUCCUGGGUCAGCUGCAUGCUGCUCAGAUGCCAGGAACAUGGAGGACAGCAGGGAGGGGCCUGUGAGGUCAUCACCACCCGUUAGGGACAGGGGGACAGGGGUGCAGCCUAGAGGGAGGACUGAUGGGGUCAUGCUCACCAGACGGACCUCACAGCCAGGUGUCCCCACCUGAGCUAGCCCUCACACUGAGAUCGCGGGUGGUGUAUUCCCACGCACUGUGUCUGUGUCUGGUGUCUCCAUACCCAGAGGGCCUUCUCCGUAUGCUCAUGGCAGAGCAGGGGGGAGGUUUGUGAGGUGCCGACUCUCCUGCUGUCUGGGUCACUGAACAAUUAGAAUUUUGUUGUCUGCACAGCUGAUACAGUCAGCUGCCUGCUCAAAUGAAUAGGACCUGGACAUCAACCGCUGCACGCGCAUUGACAGCCACCCUUGAUAUGUCACCUGUCGGACACAAGGUCUGUCUCUAGGGGACUCUGCUCUUAACUAGAGAUGAUGCCGUGUGUGCGUGAGCUGCAGAUCACAUUCAAGUCCUGCAUUCUCCAGGACUGGAUGGAUUUCCAGCCCCGCUCCUGCAUCCCCAGUGUUUGGAACCAUCUUUGAACCAGUAGGUCUGUCUUGAGAUCCUUUCCAGAAUCCCGUUGUACAUGUACACAAGUGUUGGCUGCCGUGGUAUUUGUGACCAAGAAAAGUCAGAAACAGCUUCAAUCCCACGUCUUAGGGGGAUGGUUAAAGAGCAGUGCAGCACAUGCAGAGAAUUCAUUCUUCAGCCACGUAGACAGGAGGAUGACAAUUAAAAUGGCAACAUUACAGGGAAAAGACACAGCAUGGAAAUUGUACACAUGGCUAGAUGAUAGAAAAAGAAAAGACAAAGAUGCCACCAAAGGGCAAAUAAAAGUGCCUGCAGAUCGGCAGCCAUGUCCUGCUUAGCUGCCCUCGCCAGUCAUCUGGGCUGGAUGUCAGUGAAUACUGUGGGGAAAAAGGGCAGCCAUCCCAUUUCUAUGAUUAGGCUCCGGAAACCCCUGGCUCUGAGCUGCCCUUCACCCCACUACAUGUGGCGGCAUCUUCAGCAUCUUCACCGCUGCAUGGAACGGUGUCUUUGUUACCGUGUGUCACAGCGUCUCCACUGUGACACGCACUGACUCCUGUGUGCUUGUUGUACUGAGCGGUCACAGGGGAAGGGAGAUCUGGAGAAGUACCAGGGUGCUAGGUACAGAAUGUUGCAGGUGGCAACAGCAGUGAAAGCUGGGGUCAAGCAGCAAGCGCUUCCUUGGGGCGCCUCUGCUGUCUGUGACGUUGUCCUCUCCUACUGGGGAGGAGCCCGUGUCAAAGAGUGGGCUACAGAGAGCUUUGCAGACAGCAGAGCUGUGCACCCAGAAUAGGUACCUAGAGCUGCUGUCUGGGACCCACCAGCCUUCCCCACAUAGAACUCCCUGGCUCUGACAGCUGGCGGAGGCUGGCCCUGAAGGAGCACUCCGAUUCCUUGCUGAUCGAGUCUGAUUCCUAAUGAUUUUAGCAGGUGGCCCUAUGGUCCAGGGCUUCCCCUGAGGAAGGCCUUUCCCUGGGAGGUGAGCCCAGUUUUGGGAUAAGCCAGCAGUGCAGCUGAUCGGGCUGCUUGGUGCUCACAGUGUAGUCAGCAGGAGGUGACCCGUCCUUAGUAUGUUGUGCUGCCUUCCGAAGGCAGCCUUGGAAAUGGGAGGGCAGCAGAAGAGCUUUGCUCUAUGUUCAUUCUUUUUUAUAUUUGGAAGAUAAUAGAGGACAUUCAGAAUUGCCACCAUCACAGCAUUUUACAAACUAGCAAUAUAAAGAAGGAAGAGUAACCACUGCUAGCUCGGAACUGGACUCACCCCUUCUUGAAAUAGUCCCCGUUCUCAGUUUAUGGGAACCCAGUGUUGAGGUGGUAAACGCCUCACAGGAUGAAAUCCCACUGUGGCUGAUUUGAGACCUCUAAAGGUUAAAACCUUAUUGGCAAUCUUCUUGAAUAUGUAACAGUCAGCUUUCUCAAGCCUGUACACGCUCACACAGUUUUUGGUUUCUUCUGCUUCUGCUUCCUCUACUACUACUACUUUUUUUUCUUCUCUUUCUCUUCCUUCCUUUUCCUCCUUCCUGUUCUUCCUCCUGUUCUCUUUCCUUCACCUCUUCUCCCUCUGGAGUUGGAAACCCAUUAUCAUAUUAGACAGCACACCAUUUCCAUUUCCUGUGUCACAUGAAGUCCUCUUGGCUCCUUUUUCUCAUGCAGUAGGGUUUCCAUGAAGAUGAACUGUGUUGUCUCUAAGCAUUCUGGAAGGGCAGGGUGGUCUGGUGGGGCAGGGAAGGGUGACAGCGACCCUUGUCAUUCAGGGCCUGACUCCUGCAGUGCUGUCCACAUCUGGCUUUUCUCUGCUCUGGUUAUGGCCUCUUCUAAACAUGCUCCUGGUGGCACAGUGAAGGCUGGGUGAUCUUUUCCUCCCUUCCCCUCCUGCUCAUUUCCAGAGUUCAGAAGAGAACCUCAUUCUCCUUGUGGCAAACUUUUCUUGGUGCACCCUCAUUCUUAAGCCCCUCAGGUGCCCCCUCCACCUGUCCUUAGAAACUGAGCUCCCUCCAAGCACACCUUAGCCAUUAUGGCAUGGAGUCCACCUACUUCCUGUCGAGAAGUAGAGAAGCUCUGGGGGCACAGUGGUGUCCACUCCUAGUCCCAAGUGUUAUUUGUAUGAAUGUGUUACUUUGCACACAGAAGGGUCUUUGCAAACGUCAUUAAGGUUACUGAUCAGUUGACUUUCAGUGAGGAGAUUGUGCUAAAUUAACCCAGUAGACGAAUUCUAAUCCCAGGGACCCUCUAAUGCAGAGAACUUUCUCUGAUUGGAUCAGAGGUGCAGAAGAGAAGAGUCAGAGAGAUCCUGAGUGUGCGGAGAGUUGAUGCAGUGCGGUUGGAUCUGCCAUGUGGAGCUCACAGGCAUGGACUGAUUUCUAAGGUGACCCUCAGCCAAGAGCCAGCAAAGAAGUAGGAUCUGCCUGCAGGGAACCCAGGUUGGCAAUAACACAAAUAGGCUUGAAGAGGGCCCUUCCGGAAGCCUCCAGGUCAGAGCCAGCUGACCCUUACCCUAAGUGCGGCUUUGAAGCCUGACUCAGAGACAGCAGAUACCCAGCUCACACCGAUGGCCAGAGCCGUGAUCUUGUGAGUGUGUGAUUUUAAACCGUGGAAUGAGUGUAACUUGUUACAGUGGCUGUAGAAAACAGACACAGGACCCUAGUGGCUGGGAACAGGUUCUGGGCCCCUCUCCUGGGGUCUUUGCUUGUUCCUGAGGAUCCUCACACAUCCAAGCACAGGUCCCACAGUGAACAGAUUCUCCCUUCCCCCUUCCCAUCUGCAGUCGACACUCAGUGGGUUUUACCCCUGCUCCCUGGACCUCAGUUCAGACCCCUGGGGUGUUUUAGCAGCUUCCUGUGGGUCUCCCAGCCCUGGGCCCCCUAUUUCCAGCUGCCCCCCACUAAUGCAGCUCUGCUCUCAGGACUCAUUCCUCCCCGACAGGCAUCCUGCGCUUUGCCUCUUCUCAGUGAAACAGGUAUAGGUCCAGCAGCCUAAAAUUCACAGCCUUUCGUAGGGAAGGGAGCAUGACAUCUCCGUCCUCACCUCCCAGGACUCUCUCUUGGGCAUUUGCAUUCUUGUUUUGUCCCCUGCAUUUUCUCAGCCCCAGGAUUCUUGGGAGUCCUGCAGGGAAGGAGUCCCCAACCCUGGGCCAUGGACUGGUACUGGUCCAUGGCGUGUUAGGAACCAGGCUGCGUAGCAGGAGGCAAGCAGCUGGAGAGGGAAGCUUCCCCUGUAUCUACAGCUGCUCCCGCCCCUUGCCUGAGCUCCGCCUCCCCCUCCUGUCAGAUCAGCAGGGCAUUAGGUUCUCCUAGGAGCUCAAACCCACCCUGAGCUGCACAUGCAAAGGGAUCUAGGUCGCGUGCUCCUUUGAAUUAUCCUGAAACACCCUGCCCCCACUUUGUGGAAAAAUUGUCUUCCACCAAACCAUCCCUGGUCCCAGAAAGUUUGGGGACCACUGCUGUAGGGCCCUGCCCGUGGGCCAUUGAGUCCCAGCAGGCUUCCAGGAAGCCGUAGAGCUGCCGCCCUUGAGAUGUGUGGUGCUGAAGCUCAGUGUCCCUGUCACACCCUAAGUGACCUGAGUAGGGCCUUCCACCAUCCCAGCUCGGUGUGUGCACAGUGCUUAGGAGUCCUGAGCAUACCUAUGCUCACACGCUGACUGGGGUACAUCCCACCGGAAGGAGAAAGGCAAGCUUAUCAUGUUAGGCACAGUGCCUGAAUCACUCAUUAAAUAGCUCUUAAAUGAGUAUUUCAUGAAUUCCUUUUGCUGUAUUUUGAAAUAGAUGCCCCAAGUACUGGAAAAGAUCCUCAGUAUUUUUAGCACACUUUUCCUGUUACAGUGUUUCUGGGUAUAGCGGCUGCUUAUGCUGAGUUUGAAGGUGGUCCAAACUUGGCAGGUGUGUUACUGUGUUUGACAGAGUAAGACUAUUGCAUUGCUGUCAGGAUAAUUGCUAACACAUAUCAAGCACCUGUGAUCUCCAUGAGUUAGGUCAGUUAACCCUUACAGCAGUGCUCUGACGCUGGAUUAUCCAUGUCUGAGUGUUAUGGAUGAGGAAUCCAGAGUGCAGAAAGGUGAAGUGAUCUACUCAAGGUUAUGCAGCUGGCUGAUAGCAGAGCUGAUUUCCUUCCCAGCCAGUCGCAGUUCCACUCCUUCUAUGGCUACCAUUUCGUCCUUUGAUCAGAGGCAGGAAAACCCCCCAUUCUCGAUCGAAAAUCAUCAUUAGCAUUAUUUCUACAGUUCAUCACUAAUCUGCAACACCUCACAUAUGCACCGGGCUUUGAAAGGCUUUGCUCUUUGUUCUCUUAGCAGAGGGCGGCGGGAGGCUGGUGGGUGGGGCAAGGGCGAUUCUGUGUCCUGCAUGUGUCCCGAGUAGAAGGACCACGUCCGGAGUCACAGCUGCACUGAGUCCCCGAUGCGGAGGACUGAGGCCCAUCUCAGGCGCGGAUGCCCCCAACCCUGCCCUCCAGGAACACAGCCCGCCCACCUGUGCCCUGGGCUGCUCCCACCCACGCCGGAGGGCUGGCCACGGAGCCCUCCUUGGAAGUGAGGCCUGGGCUGGGGACGAGGGCACAGCAUUUCCCUGCAAUCUUGAUCUUUGGCCUGUGGGUUUGUCCUUGGCGAGGGUCUGAGGGUCUGUCCUCAGUUGUGAUAAGAGGUCUCGUUUCUUUCUUCCCUCUGCUUUCCCCAAGCCAAGGAAACAUGGAAUCGGGAGGGGAAAAUGGCUCUCCCUGUUGCACCCAAGAACAGCCUGCUGGAGUCUGUGCUGAGGCUGCUGGUGGGAGGCCCGGCCUGUCCUCAGAGGCCACGUCUGCAGCGAGGUUCUGCAGACCGAGCCAGUGCACAGCCCGGGGCCUCCCGGCUGUCUGGGCCCUGGUGGCCCCACAGGCCUUCCCUGUCCCGAGUGCGCCUCCAGAACACACCGUGUCUUUGGCCCGGAACGGCCUCCCGCUGGGGAGCCUCGUGUCUCCCACUCCCUGUCUCGUCCACCUCCCAUCCUGUGUGACUUCAGUCAGGAUGCAGGGAAGUCCUUCCCUCAAGUGAAGACAGCCGUCCAGGUUUUCAGCCUGGGUGUUGACUUCCUCUCGAAUCCCCAGUGCUUGGACACAAGGUCAUGGACCGCACUAGAGGAGGUGAGAUGGGCUGUGCAUUAGACAGGGCUGACGUCAAGUUCAGGCUGGGCUCGGGCGGCUGGCUGUGUGGCCCUGGGCAAGCUCCUUCACCGUGAGGCUCCUUCGUCCCCGUUGGAAGCAGGAGGAAAUUGCCCCAGCAAGGCCUGAGGGACUAAAAGAAGGCAGAGGAGGGCCACCUUCCUAGAUGCCACCUCAUUAGAUGGUGGCCCGGCAGGGAGGGUUCAAGAAGCCAGAGUGAGGCGGUGGGAGGAGGAAACGAAGUGAUGUGACCAAGUUGUUUUGCACUGCAAAGGCACCAGUGCAAAUAGGCCACGAUCCCAGAUCCCAGAGCUCGGCCCUGAGUCCUGGGGCCGUGUGCAAGGUGAACCGGACUCCCGUCUUUGUGAGGUCAAGGCCAGUGGGCAGCACCCAUGAGGACAGGGGACCUGGCCAUGGGCUCAGAGUGCCGAAAGCAGCUGGAGUCCUCAGCUUAGUAAACACGGGGCGCCAUACUCUGGCUUCCCUGUGCCUUGUUUGUCACCUGAGGAAAGACCGUCAGCCUCUGCCUGGCUCUCAGGGUACUGUAGGGGUUAGAUGAGGUCGCGGGUGCACACAGCUACAGUAGUGCUUGGUGUGCAGAGUGUGCGGGGCAUUAGUUACUAUUGUCACUGACUGGCCCUCUCGGCCGGUUGUGUGUGCGUUUGUGGCUCUUUCCCCGUGGGAAUGCGAACACUUCGCAGCUUUGGCGUGAUGGCUUGUCUGGCUCCCUCCUCUGUUCUGGAACAAGAGCUCAGUGUGUUCUGAGAAACCUGCAGCAUCGCCCCAGGAGUUUAUCAACAGCAGGAACUCGGGGGCCUUCCCAGAGUCUCAGCGCCAGAUGCCAGUGCCGGGCCCUGUCUGUCUCGGCCCAGCAGCGCUGCGCAGCAUGUGGUGUUCACUACGUGCUGUGCGCCCUGUCUCCCCAGGGGAAGCAGGACAUUUGGGGCAGGAUGAGGGUGGAGUGGAUCAAUUAAGGUGGGGUCUUUGGCUGAACUUUACCCUGGGUUUAUGGAGCUUGGAAACACAAAAAAGGUUGCAUUCCUUUCUGUGGAACUGCUUAAUCCACACGCACUCUCCAGACAGGGCUGCUGCUUGGUGCCAGCGGCUUCUCCCAGCACUGCUUGCUUCCAUUCCAAAGUGGGGAAGGGAGAGCUUUAGAGGGCCAGGUGGGUACUUCCUGGGCCCUCGCACUUAGGCCAUUUGUACCUAAGAUGCAACAAAGAAUCCCCAGCCGGCUUGAAACUGUCUCAUGCUAGUGCUGGUGUUCAAGUGCUGCUUCUGUCGUGGCCAUGCCUAACAGCAGCCAGCCAGGGCUUGGUGCAGACUGGACAGUCUGAGCUCAGGCUAUAUGCCUAGCACACACAUGGCCUUGGGCUCAAUCCCCAGCACCACCCCCCCCCCCAACAAAAACAGAAAACCCGAGUUCAAGUCCUGACUCAGAUGCUUAGCUCUGUUGCUUUUCUUCAGUAACGUAACAUCGUGGGCCCUCCCCUCUUCCAUCGGUAAAGCCAUGUGGUGAGGUGACAGAAAUGGCCCAGUGCUUCACUCAUUCUUGUAACUUGCACAGUGCCCAGUCACGUGAUUCAUUAGACUGCGCUGUUAGCAGACACCUUUGCAGCCGAGCUUGGAAAGUGUUUUGUUUCUACUGUUGAACCUUUUCCAUCAGCAAGAAAGGGGUAUUUCUGGGACAGCCCUUGGGCUCCAGCAGAGGGGUGAUUGUAUGUACAAUGUAACCAGGGUGCUGUGUCUGAUCUUGGACAAGUACACAGUGAGUCACGCCCUGGACCCCUGAGUGAGCCCAGCAGAGUUCAUCUAAGCUGACCACUCGGUGAGUGACACCUGAUACUUAUGCCACUGAGGUUUUGUUACACAGCAUUGUUUUGGUGAUUGAUACAGCAGGAAUGUCACUUAUAACUCUUGGAUGGCUUGAAUUCUGUAAGAGCAGGAUGGUACCCUGUGGACUGCCCAGUCCUUCAAAUCCGUGUUGACUGAGUGAUCUAAUAAAGAGAAGUUUGUAACCCUCUGCGGUUCUGUCUGGCAUAACACCGGUUCCCUCUGCUUACAGCAUCUCUGAUUGGGGUCACUGCUGUUUCCCAUCCACUUGGUAUCCAGCAAAGGCAGACAGAAAGACAGAAAGACAGAGGAAAUUGGAGACUGAGUAGCUAGGCUCUGGUUUUAUGCACAAAGCGAAGGCUCAGUAAGUCUUACUUGCUCCCCUGAAUACUUUGGGUCCCGAGUCCCAUGGCAAGCCUGGUAAUUCCUCAAGGGAAAGCGACUUGGAGCACAGCACAGUGAGCUGGACAGAGAGUGGUGCCUGUGUCGGGUGCUCGGUCUGUAGCAGGCACUUCUUGUCCGUCCAUUCUUGUUUGAUUCUGCAGAGAGGAAUUGAUCUGGAGGUAGAAACUCCGCUCAGAGACAGGAAGCGAGCAAGCAGAUGCACACCGCUGGCAAGGUAGCUGACGAACUCUGGAGUCCAGGGCUGCUCUGCAGCCAAGAAUAGCUUCUUUAAGCCCUUCCCUGCAGGCGGGGACCCUGGCCAGCAUCCAGGCCACACUCUGUGCAAGCCAAGCAGGGAUCCUGCCUGGUGGAGGUGACUGGCCAGCUCAAACUGCACAGUUGUCGGCGUGGCCAGGUUGCUGGGCGCCUCCUUCAGUGCCGCUGGUGUGACUCGGACCUUGUGGGUGAGUGAGCCUCACCAAAGUGCCUGGAUCUGGUUUCCACGAGGGUCUGAAUGGCGUUGGCUCUCCAUCUGCAAGGGUGCGCUGUCCAUCCUGAGCCCUGGGUCCUCUCCGGCUGCCUUUCAGGGAUCCUGGCCGAGUCAGCAGGACCAUAGGGCCGGCUGGCGGCAGGGCAGUGUAUCCUGACCACCAUCCUGGGCUGAGGAGCGAAGCCCCAGUCCGGUCCCCUGUCCCUGGCCUGUCCUCCCCAGCCUGCCAGCUCCAAGGGCGGGAAUGGGGCCAGCGCCGGGAGCUUCUCGGGCUUCUGCUCCUGCUGGCACUGGCUGGGCAGGAGCUCUGCUUGGCUGGCUGCCCUGGGCACUUGCCACCCUUGUGUGUUUGCUUGGCCAUCGGGGUGAGGAAGCAGGAUGCUUUCCAUUGGACCCUGGGCGUUCCGGGCUUCAGGGGCCAGCGGCCAGCCAGGGCGGGAUCUGCCAUCCGUGCCUCCGUCUGUCCUCUUUGUCCCUCUCCCUCUCCUACCUGGCAGGCAGUUCAUAAUCCCGCCACCACCUGAUGCCGCGGGGGAGCAGGGGGAGGCCCACUGCUGUGCAGAGCAGGAACACUGGUGAGGGCCGCCCGAGAGCCUGCCUCAGGCACCUCCAGCCUCGGAGGGAGAGGGACUGUGGCACCCCGGCACCCUUCUCCCACGCCCAGCUGCACCAUUCCCAGACCAUCUGGGCCUCGUCCACAGCGUUUGUUUGAGUGGUGGUGAGACCUCUGGCACCACUCUGCCUGUCUUUGGUUAGAGCAGACAUAGGGAUGAUUUACAAUCACCCAGGAUCUCAGCAUGACUUCCUGUUAGGGUCAGGGAGAGACGCACUCCUGGGCCGUGCUACCUUGCUGAGACAGAGGCUGGCCAUGGAGAGAGCCACUGGUGCCCUGUGAGUGGCAUAUUCCCAGGAGCCCCAUGUUCUGGGUGGGGUAACUGAGGCCAGGAGCACUGGAGCCCUACACAGGGCCUUCCCGGUAGGGUAGGCAGAGAGCACACGGAAGGAAGCCGGGCUCCCCUCCCCCUCCCAAAGCAGCUUGCGUUCCCGCUGUCUGGCGCGGCGGGCAUUGUAGUACGCCUGGGCUUUGCUGAGGGUGCCUGCCCUCAGAGGGAACCUGGGGUGCCAGGGCUGUGGACACGGAGAGAAAGGCCUUUCUGGUCCUUGGCUCGGCUCGGCUCCUACGUUUUUCAGACAGGAAGGUCCCCAGGGCCAUGAUCGCCCCGCCCCACAGAGGACAGCAGAGCUGGGAGGUGAACGGGACACUGCCAUGCCUCUGGUUCACUGAGUGCCGAGGAGUGCAGGGUGAGUGACUUUCUGAACACAUGGACACCUCCCUGAGUCCCUUCAGUUCCUCACAGACCAAGGGCCUGGUCUCUGCUGGGCCUGCCUCAGCCCCUCAUUGUUCGGGGGACCCACUGUGGCCUCCUACCGUGCCCUGUCUUCCUCAUGUGGGUGGGUCCCCAGGGCUGCCUGUACCCCACCCUUCCCUCCAGCCCUCCCUGUGCUGCCCCCCUUCCCGACCUGUGUCCCGCCCUGGGCUCGCACCAGCCUUGCCCACAGCGACCUCCUUCUGUUCAGGCGGCUCUUGCAGGCAGACCUGUCCAACCUGGCCGGCUGGCCUGCUUCACAGCCUCCUUUGAAGCCUUGACAGGCGGCCAACAGAGCUGGCCAGGCGCAGGAGGCAGGGUGCUGGUGCCAAGGCCCUGACAGCCACUUCCCGCCCUGCCCUGUCUGCUCCAGGACCGGGCUGAUCCAAGGCCUGCUCAACAGGGACAGAAGGGCCCGGCUGUGAAGGGCCUGGGCUGGCCUGGACAGGGCGCCUGGAGCUGCGGCUGGGCUGUUCCCUUCUCAGCCUCCCCUUCCCACAGGGAUGUGCUCAGCUUUCUCCCAGCCCCGCAGCCCACAGCCUCUGUCCCCACGAGGAGACCUCAUGCGGAACGCACUCUGAGGAGAGCCUGGACGGGCGGAGGGAAGGACCUGCCCUGAGUGCCUCCUCACUGUGCUGUCUGAAGCCGUGGGACCCACCAGCCGCCUGCCUCAGGGCCUCUCUGUAAGUAGGGAUGCCAGAGUACCCAGUUCCGGCCCUGCAGAGGGCAGCGUGGAAGCCUCCUCGAUGCCCACUGCGGAUGUGGUUGCUUGGUGGGGAGUCUGCACCCCGGGAUGCUCAGGAGCCAGCUGACCCCGCGCCCUGCUGGUGUGGUCCCCUGUCCCACUGCCUGUCUGCCUCUGUUCCCCAGCUACAGAGCCAGGGGAGGAAGGGAAUCUUCCUAUAAAAUUUGAGAAACUCAGAUAUGCAGAAGAAAACUGAAAGUACUUGUUAUUCGCCUGAUAGGUACAGCCAGGAGCACACAGGUGCACACAAAAUGUCCAGGCAUCCUAGAGUAGCCAGUGUCUAAGCUACAUAUAUUUGGUAUGUUUAUUACCAUUCAUAUACAUCUUAUCCACACAUAUAUAAUGCCUGUUGUAUACAUUUCAUUUCCUGUUGGACAUUCCUUAUACAGGAUGUGAAAAAUAAUAAAGAAUAGGCGCCAGUGGUCAUAGUAACCAGUUUUCACCACUUAACCUGAGGUGGACUUUUCUCCUCUUAGGAGAUUUUUCUGCAGGGAGCAUUUGCGGCACCCGGCAUAUCACCAUAUGGAUACACCGCACCCACCUUACAGAGGAGGGGUGGAAGCUCUGAGAAGCGACACACCUGGCCUCCCCAGAUCACCCAGCUCUCGGGGCACAGCUGACACCCAGGCCUUCUCCGUGGAGGUUUCUGUGGUUCCAGGGACAGAUUCAGCAGGAAUCUAAAUCCUGUGAGAACAGGGCCCUGGGUUCCCCCAUCACCGGCAUCUCCCUGCACCUGUCACCUGUCACCAGGCAGGUUUCCUGUUAGUUACUGAGUCAACGAAAGCAGGGACUUAAAUCCCUUUCCUUUCCUGCUCAAAGCCCCUCACUGUUCGGCGUGCCUUCCCGUGUGGACCCCUUGCUAGCCUGUGUACCUCGCAAGCCUGGGACCGUGUCCGACGACCUUUCAGUCUGAGGCCCCAAUCCCAGCCUGCCCUGCAGCAGGUGCUCCCUGAACGACAGUGGAAUAUGGAAGCAGCAGUCCAUUCUGAGCUUUGGGCCAUGCUUUCCCCACACAGUCUUUCCGACCUCUUUUGUCACACAGAGGUUAAGUUACCUGGACUCACCACGUUGGCAGCAGUCUGCCUACUACCGUUGGUCCAGGAGGAGUUGGAUGUCUGCCCCUGCCAGUCACCUGGAGCUGGCACACCUGGGUUGUUCCGGGGCAGAUCCGAUGGCCCAGGGUUAAGUAGCACCUGGAAUGGUUAUGUGGCCAGGCACCUCCCCCGUGAGUCUCCCGAGUGGCUUGGCGGGUGGCUGGCAAGGGAGGGACCCUUGGCACCGCUGCCCCUUUGUAUCAGCUGCCAGCAGGGCCUUUGAUGUACACAGAGGCCACCUGCCAGCCAAGUGCACUGUGGGACACGGGCACUGGGAGGAGGGGAACUACCCAGGACCCGCCAGAGGGCUCCUCAGCCGCCACUACCAUCUGGUACAGCAGUGGGAUGGCUCGGGAGCAUUUCCCCAUCUUGCAAGGAUGGAGAUGCUGCACAGAACCCCAGUAUUGUGGAUGAGGUAUUAACCUCAAAGCAAGGUGGGGCCUCUCACUGUUCGAGCUUCCUUCCUUACAUGUUAGACUGACACAAGCAGACCAAACUCCAUAGUCCGUCUGAUGUCCUUGUGGGCAUUGAAUGCAUUAAUAUAUUUAAGGCGCCCAUAGUGUGUGUGUGAAUCCAGUAAUAGCAGCACCUAAUACUUACGGAGCACUUAAACACUGCAUUAAUUGCUUCAAUCUUCAUAACUAGGUAGUACUAUUGUCCGCACUUUAUAGAUGAGAAACUAGAGCUCAGAAAUGUGGAGUAACUGCUGCAGGAUCACACAGCCCAACCAAAGCCAGUCCAGAGUUCAGUCCCCAUGGUCUGGUCGGAGACACUGCCUUGCUGUGCGUUGCCCCCGUGACUCAGAUGGUACGCUUCGCUUCUCUGCUUAUCAUGACGGUAAAGACGGCCACCACGAUGGCAGAUGACCACGACGGUGGUGGUGGUCACGGCCCGCUUGUGUCGCAGUUAUUUCUUGUUGGGAUUUUGAAUUCAUUGCAGUUGAUCCUCAGAGCGGGCCGGGAAAGUGAGUAAGUUUAAGGUGGGAGGAGAUCGGGCUUUAAGAGGGGACCAGAGACCUAUUGAGCCACACUGUUGAGUGCAAGGCCAGGGUUGGGGAGGCAUGGGUGGGUGCAGAGGCCACAGGCCACCGGCUGUGUGUUGACACCAGGCUGCUGGGCCCCUGAGGCCGCAGCAUGGGGAGGAUGGGCGGUCACCCCCAAUCCUGCUGUCCUAUAGAAGUUGGGCUGGUCCCUAAGGACUGGAGCCGGAGGGCGUGUCUAGACCCCUGCAGACCCUGUCAUGAAGCUGGUGAGACCCAGCCACUGUCUACUGCGUGUGACACUCAUUGCCCUCCCCGGAGCCCUGGGAUGCUCAUAUUGCUCUCCUGCAGACAUUCGGAUCUGUUGGAUCUGUUACUUACUGCCACAGCAAGGCCGAGUAACAGACAGCAGAACCCAGCUGGCUUUCAGUAGCAGGCAUUUAUGUUCACCCUCUCGGGGUGGUUGGCCGAGUGGUCCUGCCAGUCCCGCCAUGGGGCUGGGCUGCAUGCUGGCCAGUCAGAUUCCGCUGGAGUGACUGGGGUGUUUCUGCUCCCCCAUGACUUCCAUCUCUUUUCAGGUCCUGCAUUCUAGCCAGGGAAUAUCCUUUCAUGAGAGCAGAGCCCAAGAACUUAAUCACUCCUCACAGGGCAAGGCCUCUCCAUGCUUCUGCUGGACUCGCCUUUGCUGACCUGCUUAUUGGCAAAGGCAGAUCGCAGAGCCCAGCUCGAUGUCAGCAUAGGAGGACUCCACAGAGGACACGGUAGAGGGCAAAGAUGCAGGGGCAGGAGAAGUAUUGGGACCUUGUUUGCAGUGGAUCGCAGAUGAAGGCAUCUGAGGUGGCCCUGGGACUUGUCUGAGCUUUGCUGUCACCUUGACUUCAGAGUGACUGCCUCACUCAAGAGAAGAAGGGCACGAACAGGCCCUCAGCAGAGACUGCCUGCCUGGCAGUUCACCUAAAGAGAUGACAGUCCAAUUCCCUUGCCCAUGAGCACAGGGCUUUUCCAAGGUUGCCCGACUGAGACUUGGCUCUGCCAGCGUCAGUGUCACCCGCCUGUUCCCAGUGUCCCCAACUGUGAGAGACAGCCCCACCUGUGCCCAGGUCAUGGCAAGGCGUGGCCGUUCUGCUACCCAGUGCUGCUUGGGUGCUGGAGCCUGCCAGGAGCAGAAGCUGGAGAAGAGAAAACGUGACAUCUUCUUACAGCCUUGGUAGAGCCAUUGAUUUCCCAAAAGCAUCUUCCCCCGGGUGGCCACCUGGAUGCUGGGACACAGUGGAGACUUCUUUGGGAAACACUGAGUCUUUAGAGAAAUUUUCUCAGUUAGCAGCCUCGUAGAGAAUUGAAGCCUUUGAGCCACAGGUUAGCUGGGGCUGCCCCAGUGAAGAUACAUUUCCAGCCUUGAGGAUGAAAACUUUAGUUGGAGCUCUGAUUUUGGAACUAACCUCUGAGUAAGCCCUUUGACUUAUGUAGUGGAGCUGUCUCUCCUUUUCCCUUACUUCACCCACGUCACAGCCCUAAGGAGAAUAAAUGCUGAAUUAAGUCUCUGACCCAUAGCAUCGUGGUGACUCCCUUAAGAACAGGGCUCCAUUGCCUGCAGACGCUAUGUGUCUCUUGCUUGCUUUCCCAUACCAAGAAGUCAAGUCUGAGGUUGGCUUCUGGCUGGGCAUCUGAUUUGUCAGCUUACCUCCUCAGCCUUGCUGAGUGGGAGCUUAAAGGUAGCAUCUCACACAUCUUUUAUCCUGACCUCUGGCCUUAUUGAAGUGCAGAGCCUUGAAUAGUAUAUUAGUCAGGUUCACUGUCAUUGGAACACAGUGUCUGAUAGAAUUUAAAGGAGAGGAGACUUAAUUUUAUGGUUUAUGGUUUAUGGUUUCAGGCAUUCAGUCCAUGGAUGGCUGGCUCCAAGGCAGAAACUUCAUGGUGGAAAUCCAGGCAGAACAAAGGUGCUUAGUUCCUGGCAACCAGAAAGAAAAGCAGGGAACAGUACCUGAAAAGAAGGUACAAGGGACCAGACAUAGUCCCUAAGGGCAUGUCUCCAUGAAGCACCCAGACAUAUACAGAAGUGUGGUCCACCAAACCCCCAUGUAGAUCCUAAAUCCCAAUAAGCUGACACUCCACCCUAACCUCCACAAAUGGAGAGAGGUAUGAGAUACGAGAUGUCUUCUUCCUCUUCUUCCUCCUCCUCCCCCCUCUCUUCCUCCUUCCCUUCUUUCUCCACUGUAUACUUUUUCUUUGGGAAAUAUAAACCUAGUUACUUAUUUUAUCAGGUGUAGAAAGAGAAUGCCUUUCCCUCUGCAAACACUAGCAUUCCCUUCCUCUAGAAAACUACUACUAAUCCUCGAGGACCUGAUGGAAUAAUUCCUUUUGCCAGGGGACUUUCCUCUUAGCUCCAUCCCCUGUAGGGUGGAGGUGCCCAUGGUUUAUUUUGGAAUAUCACAUCACCAGGGUUUUGUUCUUGUCCAGGUAGCCUUUAUUCUAUGUUCUGGCUUGUCUCAGUGUGGUGGUAGGGAGGUCCCCGAAGCCCUCUGGGGGCAGUGAUGUGACUUCUUUAUUUCUGACCCCUGUGCUUACAACAGUGCUGAGUACAACAGGAAUGUCACACUUGUGUGUACAAGAUGGACAAACACAUGUGUAAGUAGUGACAGCUUUGGUCCAGCAAAGAUCUCGGGCUCCAGGCUGCUCAGCUGUGGCUUGGGACGUGGAAUGCCAACAGGUCACAUAGACAAGGCCCCGCAUGCUUGGCAAAUGUGUGGGAAGCUGGAAAUGGUCCAGCCUUAAACUUUGACAGUCUCAGGUUUGAUCCCUUUCCCUGCCAGUGAGGUUGAAUAAUUCACUUUACUCCUGCCCCAUGCCUCAGUUUCACCAUCUGUAAAACAAAUAGAAAUGUUUGCUUUACUGGAUUUGUUGCUCUUCAAGUGAGAAGACUUGGUUAUGAAGCAAUCACUCCCUUUUACUUUCUGUGUGACUUUGUGUCACUUCCCAACUUCUCCUAUCUUAGUUCCUUCAGCUGGAUCAUGUGAUCACAGUGCCUGUCCUCCUGUAUUUCCACAGCUAAAGAAAUAGUGAGUGAAUGGUGGAUGGAAAAACACGCUGUAAAAUUCUCUGAGCUGGCCACUGUGUACCUCUCUACAAGAGGCCUGCAACCCUCUGGUUCUCGGGAGAGCACUCCAGCACCCCAUCCCUGCUGAGGGGAGCAAAGAGGGGAGGAGGCACACCGUGCAGUCAGGGUUUCCCGUGUGCCAUCUGACCAGUCCCUGCAGCAGUGUGCCAGGAGGCGAUGGUUCGUACAUAGUGCUGCAUGGUGCUCACCUGUCUCCUGAGUGACUGCUUGUUGGGGAGCUGGCCCAUGUAUGCAACAUGUAUUGAUCACUUUUGAUCCCUUUCCUUCCUUUCUCUCACCUCCCCCGUCCAGUCCCCACCCCCAUCCCCUGAGUCGGCCUUCUUGUUUCCUAUCAUCUGUCCUUUGUCUUACUCACUUAUUUACUUAUGUUUUAGGUUUCUCAUGUAAGAGAAACCAUGUAACAUUGAACCUCCUGUGUCAGGCUUAUUUCACUUAAUGUUACGGUCUCAAGUUCAUCCACUUUCCUGUGAAAUCCCUCUUACUUGUUCUCCCUUCUUGUGAAGAAGCUUUCAAUGAAACUUCACCUGUUAAGUGUUUAUUUUCUCACUUUGUUACCCAAACGUAUCUGCCAGUUGGAGUUUCUGAAUUGGGCUUCCAGGCUGAAUUGAUGAAAUUCUGGCAAGUGUCAAGCAAAGAAGCUUGAUCUUUUGUUCUGUUUAAAUUUUUAUUAGUGCAUAUGAAUUACAUAGAAUACCAAGUGGAUUUUAUGUUGGCAUAUUGGUACACACAUGUAACGUGCUUUGAUAAUUUUCACCCUCUCAUUAUCACCUCCCCUCCUCUCUCCCCUGUUCUCCUCAUCUCUGAUGGUCUUCAAGAAGCUUGAUAUUUUAGGUGACAAUUGUGGCCUUAUUGGAAAGCAAGGUUCAAUUUCUGGUAGAUUCCUUGACCGAGCCCGAGAAGACCCCCGAGGGGAGUCCUGAGAUGCACUGGAUAACUGGCUUAAACUUUCAUCUUGUGCUUUGAAAUCAAGGAUUUGGAUGACGUGUUCAUGAAGGUUCUUUGAGCUCCAGACCUCUUCUCGCCACUUCCCCCACUCAGCCACAAGCAGCAUUUCUGGUCAGCUCGUGUUAUGUAGCAUUUGCCCUGUGCCUGGCUCGCGCCUGGCUCUUCCCUGGUAAGAGGGUGUUUCCCAGACAGCUGCCUGUCCACUGCAGCCACUUGGGGGAGGCUGAGAAAUAGGGCAUAAUUUCCAGCAAGAUUAAAUGCUAAGAGGGAAGUGGGGCAUCCUAACGGGCUCUGGUGCUCUGUGGAUCAUUACGAGAAUGCUGUAAAUAAUCAGGUCGCCUUUUCCCAGCCCUGCCCACUUGGACCCUUUUAGGGUCAUUCCAUCCAUCCGUGGAUAGGGCUUGCUUCCCGCUAGCCACCUCCUUGGGGACAGAUCCAUUAGCACCCUGCUCGUAAUGGUAGGCUGCCGUGUCCUGCCGUGGAAGGUUUUCUGAGAAGGUGCAGGCUGUCUCGUUAGGCCCGGUGAGAGUGGCCCUUCUGAAACCUUGUGCCCUCAAUAGCUGGGCUGGUCCUGGGCAGCCAAGCUAAUGCUCCUUGGUAGGAAGGGUGGCGGACCCCUCCCUCCUCCAGUGUCUUCAACCUGGGCCUCCGAGCACAGAGGGACCUGCUGAUCCUCAGACCCUGCGGAGAGGAGCGAGGGGCAGGCCACUGUGGAGGGAGGGGCCCUGCUCUGCACCCAGUGCCCUCCUCUGGGCGGCCAGCAGCCCUUCUUUCUCCUGGCCACCGCAGGCCUCCUUGCCUUUGUUCCUGGAUUCCUCUAGCCGUUGAUGUGUGAAAUUGGAGCCACCUGGCAGCCCAGUUGGUAGAGGAUGCCGGGCACCUGCUCAGGUUCCUGCUUCCUCUUUCUCUCUUCCUUCAUCUUCCUCCCUCCUUUCCUCACCUGGCUGCCACCUAAGUCUUCUCCUCCUUAGUCCAAUUCAGAGAACAGCCCGGACUGCCUGCCUUGAGGAGCCUUCCCAUCCUGCCCAUCUGGCCUCUAGCCAGCACCUUGGUGCCCUCCCCUCCCCUGCCCUCAUCCUAGGGUGAUGCCCAGUGGUGUUCAUAGCCAUUGUUGGGCUUGUUCAGCUCCUGUGGGUGCUGCGUCCUUCCAGCUGGGUGGGCUUCAGGAAGUGCCCCAUCUGGGCAUCAAAGGGUGGAGAUUGCAAGGCUGUGGGGGGACUUCUAGCCACAAAGAGCUGUGGGGACUUUUGAGUAGGAGGCUCUGUUGAAAAUGCACCGAAAGUGGCAAAGGGUAGUAGCUGGACCAAUGGGAAGGCCAUCAGGACAGCUGGGCAUUGUGGUCACCUGGGAGGGCUGCAGUGGCCUGGCAAAGGGUGGGCUGGGGGGCGUGGAGAGAAGUCAUAGGAUCCUGACUGUGUCUUGAAGGUAGAAGUGGCUGGGGGACUGGAUAUGGGGUGCAAGAGAGAAACAUCUUUAUCUCGUGCAGUUAGAGACCUAAGUUUCUUUCUUUCUUUUUUUAAAUAUUUUUUUUGUUAAAUUCUUUUAUUGGUACAUUGUAGGUAUACAACACAAUUACUUUUCUCUUUGGGAAUUGUACCUUUACAUGAUGCAUCUUGGUUCUGAUUUUUUCCCUAUUCCCAGCCCUCCCUUCACCCCCUCCACUUUUCCCUAUUUACAAAGACUUUAUUUCCAUUUUUUCCAUUUAGAGACCUAAGUUUCUACUUGAACUCAGCAAGGAGAGUGGAGGUGUUUAUCUUGCUUGUUGUCUAGGUAGGGUGGAAUUGUUCAGUUUGAGAUGCUGGUCGGACAGCCAAGGGGUGAUGACUAUUGAAGAAGAGGCUAGAUGCACAAACCUGAGCCCGGAAGUCUCUUUCCUCUGUCUCCUCACCUGGGCUGUGGCACUGACUUUGGUGAACACUCGUUUAGCUGUCACUGUGAGGGAGUUUGUUUUGUUUUGAAUGAAGUUAACACUUGAAUUAAAAGACUGAAGAAAGCACAUCACCCUCUGUGAUGUGGGUGGGCCUCAUCAAAUCAGCUACAGACUCUCAGGGCAAAAGCAGCAGCAGGAAAUAGACAUUUUGACUACAUGCUGCCUUUCAACUACAGCUGCAGAAUCAGUGCUUCCUUGGUCUCAGGCUGCCAGCCUGCCCUGCACAUUCAGGCCUUGCUAGCCUCACGGUCAUGUGAGCCAAUCACACACACACACACACACACACACACACACACACACACACACCCUGUUGAUUCUGUUUCUCUGGAAAAUCCUCACUGAUAUAUGGAGUAAAGGGUAUACUUAGAUCCCCAAAUUUGGGAUAGAAAGGGAUGUAUUUGGAUUAGCAUUUGAUGAGACAAGUUUCUUCAGCCUUGAGGCUGGGUGUAAUCACCAAACAAGCAGAGAGGAGCGAGUCAGUUGGGCUGUACAACAGAGGUUGAGAGGUUCGGAAACUUGUGGGCGGUGUGUCUUUGUGUGGCUGACUGGUCUCUUCCAGGGUGCCAGGCUCCUCCCCAUUCCGCAGUGCUUCCUGGAGGUCUGGGAAGUGAGCUCUGUGGGCCACCUCUUCAUUUGGGUGCCUCACCCUCCCCACAUCGUGGCCCUUCCAGCUUCCUGGGUAGCGGGGAGACAUCCAACAGAAAUUGAUUGUUCCGGCAUCUUCCUUCCAGUCCAUUUUCAGUUCCGCUGCCCCUCAGUCUCUUGAGGCCUCUUGGUACUGAGUAAUCCCAUUUAUUAAAACAUAUGCAGCUUCCUUACUGGCAAGUGUUGAUAAAAAUAGUUCUGCAGCCCCAAGGGGCAGGGUCAUUUGAACUGCAUGACUCGAAAACAUUUGGUGUGAAUAAUGAAAAGUGCAGGGCCAUGGUGAUGGAUUUCCCUCGCCCUCUUUGUUCCUUCCUCUUGUUGAGAGGCAGAAUGUUUAACCCGUAUUUUCCAAGAACUGCGUAGGUGGGUUGCCAGGGACAAUUGAUUUUUUAGAGAAGUAUUGUUCUUCUGGAUGUGGAAACCAUGAAGUAAAGCAUAACAUUGAGCAAGAGUCGUCCCGAUGGCCAGGCCCGGGCUAAUUAUGGGACAGUGUUGCAAUCCAUGCAUCCGGGCUGUCCUGUGGCAUAGGUGGAGGAUCCCUUGUCUGAAAUGCUUGAAGUCUCCUGCCAUACCACCCUGAACAUGCCCGAUCGCGUCUGAAAUGCUUGAAGUGUCGCGUUUUGGACUUGUUCAGAUUUGGGAAUAUUUGCAUGUAUAUAAUGAAAUGUCUUGAGUAUGGGAAAUUUAUUUAUGUUUCAUAGAUUCUUUCUGCACACGGCCUGAAAGUAGUUCUGUACAAGAGUUUCAAUGAUCUUGUGCAUGAAUCAGUUUCAUGGCUUUACGGUUUAUAACUAGAUGUCCCCCAAGAGCCUCCUCUGCUCACUGACGGAGCUUUGGGAGGUGCCUGGAUCAUGGGUACAGCUGACCGGGACGCCUGGCCAGAGGUGGGUCACUGGGAGCGUGGCCUGGUGGCCUGGAGAGGUAGGACCCCCUCCGCAGCCCUCCUCCUCUGCUUCCUGCCUGCCUCGAUGUGAACAGGUCUUCCACCAGGGCCCUCCCACCAUCGCUGGCCAUGGAAGGACAGGGGCUUCCAAACUGUGAGCCAAAAUAAACUCCUCCUUUAAGCUGUGAGUGUCAGCAUUUUGUCCCCGCCAGGAGUGGUGCGGAAUUUUCCAUUUGUAGUGUCAUGUCAGCACUCAAGUUUCAAAUGUUGGAGCAUUAUGGAGUUUCAGAUCAGGGAUGGGCAGCCUGCAUAAGGUCAUCAUUUCUCCCCAGGGACAGUGCUCCAGGCCCAGGAUAAUCAAGGCCUUGCUCUAGUCCACCGUCAAGUGGAUCAUCUGCUUUCUUAGGCCGGGAUGGUUCUGAAUGGGAAGGGGGCAUCCUGCAGGGCAGAAGAGACCCGGGCUCUGUGUGCGGAGCUCUGAGCUCCGGCCCUGCCUCUGCCUUGCAUGGUGACCUGGGAGAGGCCCUCAGCUCUUGGGCAGCAGUGUCUCUAUCUGUGAGGAGUUGGGUGAGAUGGCUCCUAGGGAAGGGAACCCUGAACAUGGUGGGUGCCUGUCACCAGCAAAGGAGCCACCUUCCCUGAGCCCCAGCUUGCUGCAGUACAGUAGGCAUGGGCUUUGGAAUGUGACAAAGUGCUCUGACAUUCAGUUGUGGUCAGUGAGUUGGAAGGCUCAGUGGGUGGCGCCUACAGACAUACAAAGCCCCUAGUCUCCACAGCAGCUCAGCAUCCCUGUGUCAUCAUAGGAUUUCACAGGCUGGGGCCACGAGGCCAGGUAGCACUUUUGACUUAUGAAGCUCUGAAAUCAGGACAGGUAUUCAAGAGGCCAGGGGAAGCAAAGCCAGACUGGAAGCUGGGUCAUCACAGUGCCGAUGGAUAAAGCAUCGCACGAGGUGUGGAAGCUUUGGUGAGGAGGUCACACUGUGGCCGCAGCCUUCGACAUCCUGCUCUGCUUCUGACUCCCCCUGUUGUACCCACAUGUUUCCCAGUCCCAUAUGUAAAACAGGAGCGGUGACACCGCCUUCCAUCCAGGGAUAUCAAGGAGAGGAGAAUGGGCUGUUCCACAUGAGACACUGUAGAAUGAUACCUGGCACAUAAGAAGUGCUCAGUAAACAAGCUACUGCAUGUGCACACACAGGCACACACAGCUCAUGUGUCAUCUUAUCAAGAGCCCUUUCCUGGCCUCUGGACAGCACCCACCUCACACCCGACUCCCUCGCCUUUCUCAGUCCCAGUCUCCAGAGCACGCAUCACCUCCUGACCUCUACACUGUGCUUGUGUGUGUUGGAUGCCUGCCACCCCUGCCCUUCUAUGAGCCCCAUCAAUGGGGAGAUUUCUGUUGGUUUUGUGUAACACCUUGUUCCGUGUAACACCUUGUUCCAUGGAACCUGCUAGGUGCUCAGUAAGUUUCUGCUGAGUAAACGAGUCUCUGUUCUACACAGGUCCUCUAGGCCCAGACUUAGGCCCAGAGAGGAGAAGUAACUAGUGGAGGUCACCCUGAGACUGGAGGGCAAAGCUGGGCCAGGGGCCGGUGCUCUGAUCUGAACCCUGCUAUCUCUGUGUGGAGACAAGCGAGCAAACAAAAGGAAACGCAGCGCAGUGCCUGCCACACAGUAAGGACUCUCAGAAGUGAAAUGCAGUGAUUCUGCUUGCAACAACUGACCUCGCUCCAACACCCCCUUUGGCUGGUCAGCCUCUCUGAGCCCGGGUCGUGUCUCUGACACAGCACCAGCACUUAACCUCCGUGGGACAGUGAGGACUUCUGACGUUCAGAAUAAAAUGCCAGGAGCGGGCCCAGAGCAGUCGCUGUGACUGUGGCCACAUACUGUUGUCUUUGCCAUUGUCUGUCAGCACGUUGUGUUACACUUACAUGCUACUCAUCUUUGACCCUCCUAGGGUGGGGACAGCGUGUGCAUCACCACAUCCCCACCUUCUCCCACAGUUCUUGGUAUGUGGGUGAGGGACAUGGAUGGUAAGGUCCACAAGUGGAUGGCUAAAGGACAAACAAGCAGGCUGUAGUUUGUCGGACCACUUGGCCGGUUGUCUGAGGACUGUUUCCUGGAGUCUUAUCCUCUCGCCUCAGAAUCAGGCCUAGGACAACGUUUGGUUGUCCCAUUGUUCCCAGAUAACGCGCCCUAUCUGAGCGUUUCCGAGGGGACAGCUGGGGCACACCCUACGUGGCUGCUCUAUCGCCUGCUGCAUGUGGACCCCCACGGGUGCCAGUCCGCUGCCGCAAGGACCUUUCAUGUGGCCGGGCUGCCCUUCAUUCCUCCCUGCCCCCUGUGAAAUGUACGUAAGGAAGCAUUUUUCCCUCAACCAUUCUGUUCUGGAAAACGCGUUAAAUAAAAACACUUGGUACUUGUCUGUCUCUUCAUAGUGUGACCCACAUCUUCUAGGUUGACCUCACAAACGCCUUGUCUGAUGAGUCAACUCUUAGCCCUCUUUUACCAUUGGAGAAACAGAGGCUCAAAAAUGCAAUGACUGCUAGGUUGCAUAGCAUUAGUAAGGCAGCCCAGGACUGAGCCAGCCUCUACCUCGACCCCGUGCUUUUCCCCAUGCAGACCUGCCCGGCUGAAUGCGUUGAUCUUCUCUGCCCUUAACUGUGUCCAGCAGGGAUUUAAGAGGUCUGUUACCAACGUAAUGACCCGGGUGCUCCGAAGUCUGCUCGCUCUGAGUGACAUCCAGACCACCCGGGAGAGGUGGGAGCGUGUGAAUCCUGGUGAGCUGUGGUGCCUUCAGGAGAUAGCUCAGCAGCACAGUGGUGGGCACUUUCUCCUCCGCCAUGCUUCCCUCUCCCGUCGGAUUUGACCCUCUUAUCAGCUGCUCUUGAAGUGAGUUGGAUGUUGGAAAUACCUGGGGAAUCUAAAAGUCCUGCUGCCGGUGCCCUGCUCCUAACUGUUUUGGUUUCAUUUGGAACCCUGGGGCCUGGGCAUUGGAAUUGACAUCUCCCCAGGGACAUGCCCGUUUUAGUGUCCUUACUCUGGGAAAUGGGGGACUAACACGAAGCUGGCAGCCCCAACCCUACUUCAGGUAGAAGUUCUACCGUUCCUAAAGCAGACUCAGCUGAAACUCGCUCCGCUUUGCUCAGAUUCUGCACAGCUCAUGUGUGGGGAGAAGGGAAGCUGAGGGCCAAGGUGACGGGAACAGUCUCCCAGCUUCGUGAGCUGUGCCCUCCUAAGCGUCAGGUGCUUUUCCAUGCACUUUGUAGACCCCACCCAGCUCCCUUUCACGCUACCCCCAUUGCACAGACAAGAAGACUAUGCAGCAUCAGUAAGUAUGUUGUCAAGGUGACGGUGCAGAGGUGAGGUCUGAAGAGCAGUUUCCUGGCUCUGGAGGCCACUCCUGAGCUACACCUGCAGCCUUGCAGCUGACCUGGGAACCGCGCUGUCCCACUGCACAUGCGCCUGAGGAUUCCCCUCACCGGUCUGUCCUGGUGCUGCUGAAGCAGAGAUGCCCUUUGUAUCUUCUGGCCAUCUGGAAGUUUUCUGGUUGUGGUCAGUGGGUUCCUCCAAGGUUCCUUGAGCUCCAAAUUGCAUAGUUGGCCCUUGCUGUGCUUUCCUGGCCUGGGCUGGACAUGUGGAUGAGUCCUGAUCUCCAGGGAGAUUUGCGUCUCUCCUGCCUUCACUGUCUCAGGGCCCCAGAAGAAGGCUGAGUAGCUCUGUGACAAGAGCUUGGCAUCUUGCUUAGUGCUCAGCUUGACUCUGGACCAGGCCACCGUGGGCAGAGGAGGCAGGGAGGGAGGAAGGGUUUCUUAUUUCAGAAGUGAACUCUUGAGUUGUCCUAGUGCUCUUGUGGACAUGUUAGCCGUUGCUCAGCAAGCACCAAGGCCUCAAGUGGGUGGGCUGAUGGCAGUGGAGACUUUGCUACUGUUUCAGCGAGGGACACGAAGGUCUGCUAAAACGUGCUGGGUGAAGUCUUCGAACUUCCCCUACAGAAGCACAGGCGCAGGUACAGAGUGAUUCAAAAUGGAAAGAAAAGGACUCAUUUUACAUGUUCACUAGUUGGAAAUUAGUUAAUCAGGAUAGCUCUAUAAAAUGGAAUGCUGAACAGCCAUUAGAAUUGAUAAUAGAAAGUGUGAGCUGAUGUAUACAUUCACUGGUUCAACUGAGCCUACCAGAAGAUGUACUUACUUCAAAACAUCAUGCUGUGAGCUGUUAGUAAAACGUACAAUUUUUGUUAAUUAAAAAUUAGUGGCUUUAUGAACUCACAGGGAACAGUCUUGAAGAUACAUUAAUAUCAAAGAGCAACAUUAACGUUAGCAAUGUUGACUGAAUAAAGCAAAAGCAAGGCGUUGACAGCACUGUGAGGUUUGCUGACAACUCUGUGCUUAUGUGCAGUCCCUAGUCCCAUAUUGGCCCCUGAAAUUCUGCACACACAAGAGCACUCACAUAAGAGCUUUGCUGUCUGUCGCUUUCCUGCCCCAGCCGUCAGUCCUAGUGCUGACCUGGGACCUUCCUGAAAGCAGGAAGGGCUGGCCUGGCGUGCAGGGGCAUGGCAGGGCCACACCCAGAGCACCUGUCAGAUUGGUUUUCUGUGGGUGUUGGUGGAUGAAUGCAAAGAGCAGAGUUCUCUUUCACCAUUUCCUCCUACCUACUGCUCCUUGAACACACGCAGCUGGAUCUAAGUCCCUUCUCCCUCUCCCAAGUCCUGUCCCUGCCUCCACUUUGUUCCUUGAGAUUUUCUCCUCCACAAGGCUUCCUCACUGUCUCCAGGUUACAGUGAAGCAAGGAGGAGAAGAAACUAAGCAGACAUUGUCAGUUAGGUAGGGCGGGUCUGACUUAAUUGAUUAAUUUAGUCAUAGGAGCCAAGCCAACCCAGAAGCUGGGAUCAGUCUCCCCCUGAUGGUGUGCUGGUGAGUCAGACUUGCUGGGGUUUGAGUCCACAUGGCUGUCUGUGACUGUGGCUGGGUUAUUUAACCUUGCGGGAUCUCCAUUUCCUGAUCUGUAAAGAAGGCUAAAAGUGCUUCUCUUGAGGUUGUAGUGCGGAUUAAAUGUGAUAACACGAGUGAAAGUGCCUUUGAUGCAGAAGGAAGGGCAAAGUGCUUAUUGUGUUGGGAGCAGAGUGAGAGGGCCCCAUUGUUCUCAGGGGCCUCCUCCUUCCUAGGUAGAAGUCUCAUUCCCAGGGCAGAAAAGGUUCUCAUUUGGCUCUCAUUCUUUCAUGCAGUGCCCUUCUCUCAGCCGCUUUCUCUCUUAGGUUUCAGCCUAAGCAAAUAAAUUAUCCUGCUCUACCGGGCUCUGUGUUCUGUAGCCAGCCAUAUGUUGGAGCUUGAUAGAGAUUGUUAUCGGGCCGGAUAAUGUUACCCAGCAAGGGGUGACAUUUCUUAUCAGAAGCCCUGCCGAAUCAGAGAUAGGAGGGCUUUCUUUUCGCUGGCCACCAGGUCUGUGUGCAGGGUUGGCAGGGAAGUGUGAGAGGAUCCUCCUGGGAGUGGACAGCCGGGGCCGUCUCGGCUUGGGUUGUCCUUCGUCUCCUGAGACAGACACUCUGGAUAGCCUGCCUAGUUGGAAGUAGCCCUUCGGAGAUCUUUUGUGCUUUGGAAGCACUUGCUAGAGACCAGGUAGGGGAAUGUGAAUGAGGAAGCGGGAAGUGCUGUGAUGCUGGCCCGGCCGUGGAUGGAUGCUGGCCUUUGCGGGACCCUCCCCUUCCUGGGACAGGCAGACAGGCCCCUGCCGCAGAGCGUGGCCUGCGAACUCUGCUGUGGCUUUGCAAGGCGGAGGCUGCUGAGCCCUGGUGCCCACCAAGGGCUGGGCUCUUGUAGUGUUGGUUUCCGGGGGGCUCCCUUGGGCCCCGCCAAGCCCACCCCAUCCUCCUUGGCCUUCUUCUGGCCUCCUUGGCCAUCCUUCUCUGGCCUUGUUCCAGGUCAGCCUGUGUAGAUGUCCUCAAGGGCAGAUGUGACCUGGGGCUCCUGUACUUCCCAUUUGGGAGGCACUGGCUGGAUGGGAAGGCAGCAAGAGAGUGGGGGCCAGGGUUUAUUCUUCCUUUGCUAUCCAAUGGGUCCCUCACUGUUUCUAUACAGAAGACCUUGGGUGUGAAUCUUGAUCCUGGUAUGGGUUUGCUAUGAUAUCAGGCAAGUUGGGCCUCUUUCUACUUCAGUUCUUCAUCUGCGGCCUAUGGAUGACAUUACUUUCCUCUGUGUCCCUCAGCACAUGUUUCUGGGUCUUGUUGAUCUCCAGCUUUGCAUUGGCCCUGGGAUUCUAGAGCAAGGGGCAGUGCUGAGCUCCCAGUGUUCCCGUCUUGAGAUCAGAGCUCAUUGCACAUGAGAGAUCCAGGAUGGGCAGAAGAGAUUAGAGUUCACCAUGUGAUUUGGAGCUGCAGUCUGUGUUGUAGACACAUGCUCAGGGCUUGUCCCCUCCUGAUAUUUUGGGAAGUCCUACCCUGUCCAGUCCUGCUGUCAAGUAAUAAUCUGCUAUCAUCAGAAAGGGAAGAAGAAGUGGUUUUUGUUCCUUCCUGGAUCAUUCGAGUCAGCACUUCCUGCCUCUGCUUCCUUCCUGUUGACCUGAUGAUCCCUGAGGCUUGGUUUGUUCCAUCUCUUUUCCCUCCUAUCCAUACUGAGCUUUCUAUUAGGGGAUAGAGAUUUUCUGUCUUACUGACUUUUCCUUUCUCUCACAUGUCUUCCCAUUGGCCAACUCAAGAUUUUGAAAGCAGGAGUCUGACUAUGUCCCUCUCCAGCUCAGUCACAGUCAAUAGGACAGUCACCCCCAGGACUGAAGUCAGACCUUUCAGUAUAGCACUCACGGUCCACUUCAACAUGAGCUUACCCAUCCUGAUCACCUCUGAACCUCUUGUAUCAGGUGUCAGUCCACGUAAGCAGGUUUUACCAAGAGGUAAAACCUUUAAACCUACCACUUUUUCUCUGUGACUUCUGGGCUUUGAUCCCAUCAUUUCUUCUCCUGUGGAUGCCUGAGAGGUCUACGGGCUCUGGUUGGGUUCAGACUCCAGCGCCACCAGUUGCUGGCUCUAUGGCCAUGAGCUAGUCACUUCACUGCACUCCGCUGUCUUUUGGUUGCUGUUUGUAAUAUCUUAAGCCUGUCUGUAUGUCCUUAAAUAUGCAGAAGCAAGUUUCUUACAUCCACCGUAUCGUUGGAUCUUGUUUUUAUUUAUCCAUUCAGCUACUCUGUAUUUGAUUGGAGAAUUUAACCUAUUUGCAUCCAAAGUAAUUACAGAUAGGCAAGGAUUUAGGAUUGCAAUUUUUUUUUCUGGCUAUUUUAUAGUUCCUUUAUUCUUUUUUUCCCUCUUGUACUGUUUUUCUUUAUGAUUUAAUGUGGUUUUUUGCUUGUUUGUUUCAGUAGUGUGCUUUGAUUAUUUUCUUCUUGAGUAUCUACUAUAGGCUUUUUCUUCAUGGUUUUUAUGAGGCUUUCAUAAAACAUUUAGUUUAUAAGGCAUUAUAAGUGUAUGACAACUUUGACACAAAAAACUAUAUAUUAACUUCUUCA
RNAcentral lists this long non-coding RNA (28878 nucleotides) under Heterocephalus glaber (naked mole-rat). RNAcentral's name for it is "lncRNA (ENSHGLG00000050974.1)". The stretch from base 657 to 787 matches the Rfam family "Pvt1 oncogene conserved region 5". The record is from RNAcentral. Lineage: Eukaryota; Metazoa; Chordata; Mammalia; Rodentia; Bathyergidae.